CCUACGGGGGGCAGCAGUGGGGAAUAUUGCACAAUGGGCGCAAGCCUGAUGCAGCCAUGCCGCGUGUGUGAAGAAGGCCUUCGGGUUGUAAAGCACUUUCAGCGGGGAGGAAGGCGGUGAGGUUAAUAACCUCAUCGAUUGACGUUACCCGCAGAAGAAGCGCCGGCUAACUCCGUGCCAGCAGCCGCGGUAAUACGGAGGGUGCAAGCGUUAAUCGGAAUUACUGGGCGUAAAGCGCACGCAGGCGGUCUGUCAAGUCGGAUGUGAAAUCCCCGGGCUCAACCUGGGAACUGCAUUCGAAACUGGCAGGCUAGAGUCUUGUAGAGGGGGGUAGAAUUCCAGGUGUAGCGGUGAAAUGCGUAGAGAUCUGGAGGAAUACCGGUGGCGAAGGCGGCCCCCUGGACAAAGACUGACGCUCAGGUGCGAAAGCGUGGGGAGCAAACAGGAUUAGAUACCCCGGUAGUC
RNAcentral lists this ribosomal RNA (465 nucleotides) under uncultured Klebsiella sp. RNAcentral's name for it is "bacterial SSU rRNA". It matches the Rfam family "Bacterial small subunit ribosomal RNA", at positions 338 to 795 of the family's 1533-position model. Lineage: Bacteria; Pseudomonadati; Pseudomonadota; Gammaproteobacteria; Enterobacterales; Enterobacteriaceae. The record is from RNAcentral.